AGGUGCAUUUAGAUGGUACUCCUCACAAUUUAGAAGAAAGUGAUUUCUGUGAUUUUAGCUUUCUGGACAGAGGGCUUUUCAGUUCAGAUAUUUCUGUUUGUUUUAAAGGUGCCAUGCUUGAACCUGUUCGUAAAACACGAGAUGCAACGUUCUUUGUGAAGAAUUCUAGUGAUAUUUAGGUUCCACGGGGACCAGAGCAGCCAGGUGCUGUUCAAAUUACCAUGCUGGAGCUGGCAGCACAAGGACAUGCUUCAAAGAAACUGGAAAGAUGAGUGAAGUUAACAGUACAAGUUGGUUCAAAGCUGCUAGUUUACCAGCAAUUGCCUGUCUUUUAGCUACUCCUCUAGUCUUAUACAAGUUAUAUCCUUCUGAAACCAAAGACACACCAGAUGCCCCUGCCAUGGCUGCAAAGAAAUUGGAGCAUAUGGGUCCUGUUACAAGAAAUGAGUGGGUGAUGGUCGGUACAAUGCUCCUUGCAGUCCCUUUGUGGGUCUUUGGGUACUUAAUAUACCGACUAAGAUUAAUAAGGGGACUGUUGAAAUCAUCACCCCUGUAGAGCUUAUUAAGAAGGGUUACAAGGUUGGGUCCUCCAAGGCUGCCCUCCUUGCAAAGCUUGGCAGAAGGCCAUUCUCUUAUGGCCUCGUUGUUCUUCAAGUUUAUAAUGAAUGACAAGGUCCUUUAUCUUGUCAAAGAUGUAGAGGCACAUUACCAGGAACUUGAGAAAUACUGUCUGAUACGUUUGAUGCCUUCUUCCACCAUCGAACGUACGAGACGGUCUUUCUGAAGCUCCUUGUAAUGUCCCUCUGCGUCUUUGACAAGAGAAAGGACCUUGUUAUUCAUUAUUACUUCAU
This is a long non-coding RNA of Quercus robur (English oak), 851 nucleotides long. RefSeq lists it as uncharacterized. The transcript is spliced from 4 exons. The record is from RefSeq and is a predicted model, not a curated record. NCBI's taxonomy places the organism in Eukaryota, Viridiplantae, Streptophyta, Magnoliopsida, Fagales, Fagaceae.